RNAcentral lists this ribosomal RNA (96 nucleotides) under Carlito syrichta (Philippine tarsier). Lineage: Eukaryota; Metazoa; Chordata; Mammalia; Primates; Tarsiidae. The record is from RNAcentral.
GAGAAUGGCCUUACCACCCUGAAUGCGCCCAAUCUCGCCUGAUCUCAGAAGCUAAGCAGGGUCGGGCAUUGUUAGUACUUGGAUGUUUUAUUUUUA